RNAcentral lists this non-coding RNA (156 nucleotides) under uncultured Metasolibacillus sp. Its description in RNAcentral is "glmS glucosamine-6-phosphate activated ribozyme". It matches the Rfam family "glmS glucosamine-6-phosphate activated ribozyme aptamer". From Rfam's summary of the family: This entry contains a glucosamine-6-phosphate activated ribozyme that is found in the mRNA for GlmS. GlmS is an enzyme that uses fructose-6-phosphate and glutamine to generate glucosamine-6-phosphate. The record is from RNAcentral. Lineage: Bacteria; Bacillati; Bacillota; Bacilli; Caryophanales; Caryophanaceae.
AACAAUUAUAGCGCCUGAGCUAAGGAAAUAGAGCGGACAUCAUCCUUAGUUGACGAGGUGGAGGUUUAUCGAAAAUUCGGCGGAUACCUCCCGAUUGACAAUGCCCAGUCGUCAUAUUCGUUUUAAAGCAGGAAAGCGAUUUUCUGUACAGAGGAA